GGUGAUGACCAAAUAAUUGAUUUUUCUUGAAUCUGAUAGUACAGAAAUAUUGGCCAGGAUGUUGGCUACUCCUUAUCUGCUGCUAAUUGAUCUAUGGCUGUCA
Chiloscyllium plagiosum (whitespotted bambooshark) is the source of this 103-nucleotide non-coding RNA. The record is from RefSeq and is a predicted model, not a curated record. Lineage: Eukaryota; Metazoa; Chordata; Chondrichthyes; Orectolobiformes; Hemiscylliidae.